This 1256-nucleotide long non-coding RNA is filed under the name Cricetulus griseus (Chinese hamster). RNAcentral describes it as "lncRNA (ENSCGRG00015035141.1)". The record is from RNAcentral. Lineage: Eukaryota; Metazoa; Chordata; Mammalia; Rodentia; Cricetidae.
CAGAAUAUAAGCAGGAAAUCUCUGUUUUGUUCUUCCUCUUCCUCCUGCUCUCUGCCCUGGAGCCGCCAUGUGAUCCUGGGAAGAGGAUACUAACGGAAGGUUGCUGUGGGCUUCCUCACCACAUGUUGGCUCAGAGAAGGACUUCUCAACUUGCUGUUCAGGUAUCAAAGAUAAGCAUUUAAAAGAUUAAGAAUGAAGACUGGUUGCCUGUAGUACUGAAUGUCACAAUUUGCCAAGUCUGACAUCUACUACAUUUGAAGGGUUCCAAGUGCAUGGUAAUCCCACAGAGAUCCAAGGCCAUCUGAAACAAUCACCUGGCAAUGCAUCACUUGAAGUCAUUGGCUGCAAGCAACAGAAACUGACUGUAGCUUAAGCAAAAAUAAGAAAGCAUUAUGCUUGGACAUUGAAGAGUUGACUCAAAUGUGGAAGAAUGGAUUUAGAAUGUAACUCCACAGCAACAGAAUAUGCCUUGAGCCUUGGAGGGGGUGAUAAUCAUUCUGAUAAAUGAAUAUGGGAGACAUCUUAUCCUCCACACAGUGUUGGCUUCCCCUUCCAUGGGGAAUCAUGGUAUACUCUCUUCUUUAUACAUGUGUUUUAUGUCCAGUGUCUACUGUGGCCACUUCACCUUUUCUGUCCUGCGCUAUUUUUUCCAGACACAACCAGCUCUGUUGUGUCUGGAAAAUGCCAUUUCUAUGGAGUUGACACAACCUCUAGCUCUCAUAAUCUUUCUAUCUUCACUCCCAAGCAGAUCCCUGAGUUAAGAAUGUUCUUUGUAGGUCUGAGUGUUCCACAUAUUCAUAUGUUAAUGAGUAGUUGAAUAUUUUGUCUCAGCAGAACUUGAUUACUAACUUAGAAUUUAUUUUUAUAAUUACUAACUUAGAGGGUCUCAUGGACCAUGAGUUGACUUCAAAUUUGCAAUGUAGAAAACGAUGACCUUGAACCUCCUGCCUCUACCUUCCAAGUUGUGAUUACAGGCACCAUACCUAGAUUCAUUUAUAAUUUAAAACUCAUGCAUCCCUUCUGUAUUAUAGAAAAGUUAAUUAAGAAUGUCACAGCUGAGUAAUUCAGAACAUGUAAAUGGGAUGAUGCCUAAAGCAGUGGUUCUCAACCUUCCUAAUGCUGCCACGUUUUGGUACAGUUCCUCAUGUUGUGGUGACCCCCAAUCAUAAAAUUGUCUUUGCUUCUACUUCAUAACUAUAAUUUUGCUACUGUUAUGAAUUGUAAUGUCAAUAUCUGAUAUGCAACUCCACCCACAG